Molecule: ribosomal RNA, 256 nt
Filed under: uncultured bacterium
Lineage: Bacteria
Description: partial 16S ribosomal RNA
Rfam family: Bacterial small subunit ribosomal RNA
Source: RNAcentral
UACGAAGGGGGCUAGCGUUGUUCGGAAUCACUGGGCGUAAAGCGCACGUAGGCGGAUUGUUAAGUCGGGGGUGAAAUCCUGAGGCUCAACCUCAGAACUGCCUUCGAUACUGGCAAUCUCGAGUCCGGAAGAGGUUGGUGGAACAGCUAGUGUAGAGGUGAAAUUCGUAGAUAUUAGCUAGAACACCAGUGGCGAAGGCGGCCAACUGGUCCGGUACUGACGCUGAGGUGCGAAAAGCGUGGGGGAGCAAACAGGG